RNAcentral lists this ribosomal RNA (1185 nucleotides) under Escherichia coli. RNAcentral describes it as "bacterial SSU rRNA". It matches the Rfam family "Bacterial small subunit ribosomal RNA", at positions 1 to 1176 of the family's 1533-position model. The record is from RNAcentral. Lineage: Bacteria; Pseudomonadati; Pseudomonadota; Gammaproteobacteria; Enterobacterales; Enterobacteriaceae.
AAAUUGAAGAGUUUGAUCAUGGCUCAGAUUGAACGCUGGCGGCAGGCCUAACACAUGCAAGUCGAACGGUAACAGGAAGAAGCUUGCUUCUUUGCUGACGAGUGGCGGACGGGUGAGUAAUGUCUGGGAAACUGCCUGAUGGAGGGGGAUAACUACUGGAAACGGUAGCUAAUACCGCAUAACGUCGCAAGACCAAAGAGGGGGACCUUCGGGCCUCUUGCCAUCGGAUGUGCCCAGAUGGGAUUAGCUAGUAGGUGGGGUAACGGCUCACCUAGGCGACGAUCCCUAGCUGGUCUGAGAGGAUGACCAGCCACACUGGAACUGAGACACGGUCCAGACUCCUACGGGAGGCAGCAGUGGGGAAUAUUGCACAAUGGGCGCAAGCCUGAUGCAGCCAUGCCGCGUGUAUGAAGAAGGCCUUCGGGUUGUAAAGUACUUUCAGCGGGGAGGAAGGGAGUAAAGUUAAUACCUUUGCUCAUUGACGUUACCCGCAGAAGAAGCACCGGCUAACUCCGUGCCAGCAGCCGCGGUAAUACGGAGGGUGCAAGCGUUAAUCGGAAUUACUGGGCGUAAAGCGCACGCAGGCGGUUUGUUAAGUCAGAUGUGAAAUCCCCGGGCUCAACCUGGGAACUGCAUCUGAUACUGGCAAGCUUGAGUCUCGUAGAGGGGGGUAGAAUUCCAGGUGUAGCGGUGAAAUGCGUAGAGAUCUGGAGGAAUACCGGUGGCGAAGGCGGCCCCCUGGACGAAGACUGACGCUCAGGUGCGAAAGCGUGGGGAGCAAACAGGAUUAGAUACCCUGGUAGUCCACGCCGUAAACGAUGUCGACUUGGAGGUUGUGCCCUUGAGGCGUGGCUUCCGGAGCUAACGCGUUAAGUCGACCGCCUGGGGAGUACGGCCGCAAGGUUAAAACUCAAAUGAAUUGACGGGGGCCCGCACAAGCGGUGGAGCAUGUGGUUUAAUUCGAUGCAACGCGAAGAACCUUACCUGGUCUUGACAUCCACAGAACUUUCCAGAGAUGGAUUGGUGCCUUCGGGAACUGUGAGACAGGUGCUGCAUGGCUGUCGUCAGCUCGUGUUGUGAAAUGUUGGGUUAAGUCCCGCAACGAGCGCAACCCUUAUCCUUUGUUGCCAGCGGUCCGGCCGGGAACUCAAAGGAGACUGCCAGUGAUAAACUGGAGGAAGGUGG